Molecule: ribosomal RNA, 268 nt
Filed under: uncultured Oscillospiraceae bacterium
Lineage: Bacteria; Bacillati; Bacillota; Clostridia; Eubacteriales; Oscillospiraceae
Description: partial 16S ribosomal RNA
Rfam family: Bacterial small subunit ribosomal RNA
Source: RNAcentral
UUCGUCCAAUUGAAGCAGAGGACAGUGGCGGACGGGUGAGUAACGCGUGAGGAACCUGCCUUUCAAGGGGGACAACAGUUGGAAACGACUGCUAAUACCGCAUGACACAUAGGUGUCGCAUGGCACUUAUGUCAAAGAUUUUAUCGCUGAAAGAUGGCCUCGCGUCUGAUUAGCUAGUUGGUGAGGUAACGGCCCACCAAGCCGACGAUCGGUAGCCGACCUGAGAGGUUGAACGGCCACAUUGGGACUGAGACACGGCCCAGACUCC